ACUCCUACGGGAGGCAGCAGUGGGGAAUAUCGGACAAUGGGCGAAAGCCUGAUCCAGCCAUGCCGCGUGUGUGAAGAAGGCCUUUUGGUUGUAAAGCACUUUAAGCGAGGAGGAGGCUACUUAGAUUAAUACCCUAGGAUAGUGGACGUUACUCGCAGAAUAAGCACCGGCUAACUCUGUGCCAGCAGCCGCGGUAAU
This 198-nucleotide ribosomal RNA is filed under the name uncultured Acinetobacter sp. RNAcentral describes it as "partial 16S ribosomal RNA". It matches the Rfam family "Bacterial small subunit ribosomal RNA", at positions 335 to 524 of the family's 1533-position model. Lineage: Bacteria; Pseudomonadati; Pseudomonadota; Gammaproteobacteria; Moraxellales; Moraxellaceae. The record is from RNAcentral.